UCUACAGUAAGUAUUCUCGCUAUUUAAUAUAACCCUAAAGAAUUCUAAUUUCUCUUUUUAAUAAGAAAAACUUAUCUGCCGGCUCCUCAAGCAGUGCCUCCAGCAACGGCAAGAACCUCUGCGCUCGCUCCCUGAAAGCCUGACGCAGAGCCGAGAGAGGCGUAUUUAUGGGCGAAGGACGGCGCACGCCGUCGCAUUGAAUAACCCUCCGAACUCCUUUGUGAGGGAAGGAAGCAAAAAUAGUCCCUCGGCAGGUUAAAAAUAGAAACUGGUUUUUACAAGCCUUUCUAGAUUUUUCCUAACCAUUUAUGCAGCUUGAUUGCAAACCAUAUAACCAAAAAUAUUUGACUUAGUAGCAAUUAGAUUUUAGCCGAAAACUUAAAAACAAUGAAAAUCACGUUUAAGUAGACAGUUCACAAAAACUCAGAGCCAUUGCUUAGAAAUUUUUUCGUAGCACACAAAAAUACUUUUCAUAUUUUCUUGGCGUACAGUAGGUAGUAUUUAGUGCUUUUUGAAGGAAGGGUAAAAUGGGUUUGUCCAUGGCCUUAGUUUUCAUUAUGUAACAGCGUCAGCCUGCCUCAUGCAGACCGCAGCCAUUUUAGGAGCAGCAAAGUGUCGAAAUUUCUCCCCAAACUCCUGAAGUCCUGCCGGUACUAAGUGCCAGCUAGACCCCCUACGCUUCUGGUUUCCUGCUUAGACUUGGUAAAUCGAGCUUGGAUUAAUUUUGUUCUUCCCAAACCUGGGACGUUUGGAAGUUUCCAGGCUUCUCACUCAAUCGAAAUCCAAACCCGCUGUCAAAACCAACUUUGUCUUCUUUAAAGUAUCCAAAGAAAGCCAAGGCUUUUUGCCUCCAAGAUACAGCGACCUCGGGCAGCCAGACCCAGGACGUAUUUGUUAUCAGAUGUUUGCGAAUCAUCGUUCAUGGGUCUGCUUUUCUAGGCUCCCUCGUUUGUUUCACAAGUUCCCCAUAAUCUCUGGUUUGCCUCUACUCUUACUUUUUAAGUUUGAGCUAGAAUGAAAAUAAAAGCUUCUCCAAACCC
Long non-coding RNA from Pteropus alecto (black flying fox), 1040 nucleotides. RefSeq lists it as uncharacterized. The transcript has 2 exons. The record is from RefSeq and is a predicted model, not a curated record. NCBI's taxonomy places the organism in Eukaryota, Metazoa, Chordata, Mammalia, Chiroptera, Pteropodidae.